RNAcentral lists this ribosomal RNA (484 nucleotides) under uncultured bacterium. Its description in RNAcentral is "partial 16S ribosomal RNA". It matches the Rfam family "Bacterial small subunit ribosomal RNA", at positions 28 to 507 of the family's 1533-position model. The record is from RNAcentral.
AUUGAACGCUGGCGGCAUGCUUUACACAUGCAAGUCGAACGGCAGCGCGGGCUUCGUCCUGGCUGCGAGUGGCGAACGGGUGAGUGAUGCAUCGGAAUGUGCCCAGUUGUGGGGUAUAGCCCGUCGAAAGCCGUAUUAAUACCACAGACUACCUGCGCGUGAUGGCGGGUGACGGAAAGGCCUCUCGCGAUUGGAGCGACCGAUGCGGGAUUUGCUAGCUGGUUGGGUAAAGGCUUACUAAGGCGGCGAUCCGCAGCUGGUCGGAGAGGGCGACAGGCCACCUUGGGACUGGGCCGCCGACAAGGCUCCUAAGGGAGGGAGCAGUGGGGAACUUUGGACAGUGGGGGCAAAUCUGAUCCAGCCGGGCCGAGUGCGAGACGGAGGCCUUCGGGUUGUAAAGCGCUUCUGUUGGGGAAGAACUCCUCUGGGCUAAUACCAAGGGGGGAUGACGGUAACGGAUAAAUAAGCACCGGCUAACUACGUG